AAAUUGAAGAGUUUGAUCAUGGCUCAGAUUGAACGCUGGCGGCAGGCCUAACACAUGCAAGUCGAACGGUAACAGGAAACAGCUUGCUGUUUCGCUGACGAGUGGCGGACGGGUGAGUAAUGUCUGGGAAACUGCCCGAUGGAGGGGGAUAACUACUGGAAACGGUAGCUAAUACCGCAUAACGUCGCAAGACCAAAGAGGGGGACCUUCGGGCCUCUUGCUAUCGGAUGUGCCCAGAUGGGAUUAGCUAGUAGGUGGGGUAACGGCUCACCUAGGCGACGAUCCCUAGCUGGUCUGAGAGGAUGACCAGCCACACUGGAACUGAGACACGGUCCAGACUCCUACGGGAGGCAGCAGUGGGGAAUAUUGCACAAUGGGCGCAAGCCUGAUGCAGCCAUGCCGCGUGUAUGAAGAAGGCCUUCGGGUUGUAAAGUACUUUCAGCGGGGAGGAAGGGAGUAAAGUUAAUACCUUUACUCAUUGACGUUACCCGCAGAAGAAGCACCGGCUAACUCCGUGCCAGCAGCCGCGGUAAUACGGAGGGUGCAAGCGUUAAUCGG
This 558-nucleotide ribosomal RNA is filed under the name Shigella flexneri. Its description in RNAcentral is "bacterial SSU rRNA". It matches the Rfam family "Bacterial small subunit ribosomal RNA", at positions 1 to 548 of the family's 1533-position model. RNAcentral also lists the same sequence under 1 other name. The record is from RNAcentral. Lineage: Bacteria; Pseudomonadati; Pseudomonadota; Gammaproteobacteria; Enterobacterales; Enterobacteriaceae.